GACGUAGGGCGCGAGCGUUGUCCGGAUUUAUUGGGCGUAAAGAGCUCGUAGGCGGCUUGUCGCGUCGUCCGUGAAAACCUGCAGCUCAACUGCAGGCUUGCGGUCGAUACGGGCAGGCUAGAGUUCGGUAGGGGAGACUGGAAUUCCGGGUGUAGUGGUGAAAUGCGUAGAGAUCCGGAGGAACACCAGUGGCGAAGGCGACACGCUGGGCCGUACCUGACACUGAUGCGCGACAGCGUGGGGAGCAAACAGG
RNAcentral lists this ribosomal RNA (253 nucleotides) under uncultured bacterium. RNAcentral describes it as "partial 16S ribosomal RNA". It matches the Rfam family "Bacterial small subunit ribosomal RNA", at positions 524 to 776 of the family's 1533-position model. The record is from RNAcentral.